GAUACAUAGGCUUCAAGCGUUGUCCGGAUUUAUUGGGCGGAAAGAGUUCGUAUGCGGUCGAGUUAGUCGGGUGUGAAAAUUCUGGGCUCAACCCAGAAACGCCACCCGAUACUGCUUAACUUGAGUUCGAUAGGGGAGUGGGGAAUUCCUAUUGUGGCGGUGAAAUGCGCUGAUAUUAGGAGGAACACCGGUGGCGAAGGCACCGCUCUGGAUCGAUACUGACGCUAAGGAACGAAAGCAUGGGUAGCAAACAGGAUUAGAUACCCUGGUAGGCCAUGCCGUAAACGGUGGGCACUAGGUGUGGGAUUCUAUUAACGAAUUCCGCGCCGUCGCUAACGCAUUAAGUGCCCCGCCUG
Molecule: ribosomal RNA, 356 nt
Filed under: uncultured bacterium
Lineage: Bacteria
Description: bacterial SSU rRNA
Rfam family: Bacterial small subunit ribosomal RNA
Source: RNAcentral